Molecule: ribosomal RNA, 492 nt
Filed under: uncultured bacterium
Lineage: Bacteria
Description: partial 16S ribosomal RNA
Rfam family: Bacterial small subunit ribosomal RNA
Source: RNAcentral
AGUGAACGCUGGCGGUAGGCCUAACACAUGCAAGUCGAACGGCAGCACAGUAAGAGCUUGCUCUUACGGGUGGCGAGUGGCGGACGGGUGAGGAAUACAUCGGAAUCUACUCUUUCGUGGGGGAUAACGUAGGGAGACUUACGCUAAUACCGCAUACGACCUACGGGUGAAAGCAGGGGAUCUUCGGACCUUGCGCGAUUGAAUGAGCCGAUGUCGGAUUAGCUAGUGGGGGGGGUAAUGGCCCACCAAGGCGACGAUCCGUAGCUGGACUGAGAGGAUGGUCGGCCACACUGGAGCUGGGACACGGUCCAGACUACUGCGGGAGGCAGCAGUGGGGAAUAUUAGACAGUGGGCGCGAGCCUGAUCCAGUGGUACCGAGUGGGUGGAGGAGGCGUUCGGGUUGUAAAGCCCUUUUGUUGGGAAAGAAAAGCAGCCGGUUAAUACCCCGCGGUUCUGACGGUACCCAAUGAAUAAGCACCGGCUAACUUCGUG